UCUCUAAUCUGGUCUAGUGGAGUACCCCUUUAGGGUCUUUAGGAGGGCUGGACGCAGCCAUAACUCCAAGACCUGGCCUCGGACCACGACGGUGGCCGGUGGCUUCAGGUUCAGGUUUUGGUUAGUCUCUGUUUUGUGUUUUGUUGUUAGUGUCUUUGUUCUGUUCUGUUUCUGUUUUGUCAACCAUUAGUCCCGCAAUGGGUCUGUCUCAGUCUGCUUCUGCUUGCUCUCCGUUGCAGUGUUUCUUGAAAAAUUUUCAGGACUUCCGCCGACGAGCUGCAGGGUCGGGGGCUACGGUCAACCCAGGAACCCUUCGGGCCCUUUGUGAGCUCGAAUGGCCAACUUUUCCAGACUCUAACUGGCCACCAGAGGGCACUCUAAACUUGCCAAUUGCCUUUCAGGUUCAAAAAGUCAUUUGUGGGAAACCGGGACAUCCGGAUCAGAUUCCCUACAUUGAAACCUGGAUCGACGUCCUCGCUGACCGCCCCACAUGGCUUAAAAAUUGCUCACCACCUAAACCGUCCAAAGAGCGAGAUGUGCUCAUUCUAGAGGGGCCACCCAAAAGGCCCCCGGUCCUCGAUCCUCCACAGGAUAGUCCCCCCUUAACACGGCCCCCACCUUAUUCCGCAGGGCCCCCUGCCCUUCCCCCUAGCUCAGGGCCUUCUGCCCCCGGCCCAAGGCCCUCUCCUCCAAGUCCAGAACCCUCUGUUCUCAGCCCGGAACCCAUUGCUUCAAGCUCGGGGCCCUCUACCUCAAGAACGGAAGGGCUCUCUACCUCAAGAAUGGAGGAACCCCUUGUUCCCACUCCGGAUUCCACUACAACUCUCUCCAGCCCCCCCCAUACCCGUUCCGGAAGUUCGUACGGACCACAUGGCCAGGUUUUUGUCCCUGCCCAGUUACCCCUGAGGCAAGUUAUUCAGGGCCCCCCUGAAGACCCAAAGCCCUUUAUGGUUUACGUUCCUUUUUCCACCAGUGACCUGUACAAUUGGAAGAAUCAAAACCCUUCUUUCUCUCAAAACCCCCAAGGACUAAUCUCUCUGUUAGAGUCCGUUUUCUUUACUCAUCAGCCCACAUGGGAUGACUGUCAACAACUUCUGCAGACCCUUUUCACGUCAGAAGAGAGAGAGAGAAUCCGUGCCCAGGGACGGAGACUAGUCGUGGGGCCAGACGGUCUGCCAACCACGGAAGUAGACUGCCUGGAAGCUGUUUUUCCCCUCACCCGACCCCGGUGGGACCCUAACACUGGUCAAGGUAAGGAGGCUCUCGAACGGUACCACCGGACUCUAAUGGGGGCUCUCCGAGCAGCAGCGCGGAGGCCUACAAAUAUGUCUAAGGUAACGGAGGUAACUCAGGGGGCCACCAAGUCCCCCACUGCUUUUCUAGAGCGCCUCCAGGAGGCUUACCGGUUAUACACCCCUAUAGAUCCGGAGGCGCCAGAGAACAGGCGGGCAAUUAAUAUUGCCUUCGUCGCCCAGUCAGCCCCAGAUAUAAGGAAAAAGUUACAGAAGUUAGAAGGCUUUGAGGGAAAGGUACUGAGCGAGUUGGUAGAGGUUGCUCAAUGUGUCUUCAAUAAUAGAGAAAGUUCGAAAGACUUAAACAAAAAAAAUGGCAAAAGUCCUACUUGCCAUGAGUGAGGACCAGACGCGGAAUAAAAACCAAGGAGGAGGUCAGAAGUUUGAAGAAAAGCCAGGGGGAGGAAAUAAAUUGUCUGGCGAGAGAGGGGGGCGAAAAGGACCCUCCCUAGGCCAAAACCAAUGUGGUUUCUGUAAGGAGCAGGGGCACUGGAAAAACGAGUGCCCAAGAAAAUCUUGUCGAGAACCGUCAAAGGUCCUUCUAAAGAAGGAAGACUGGCGGGGCCGGGGCUCCACCCUUAGCCCCCAGGAGCCCAGGGUCACUCUUAAAGUAGGGGGCCGAGACAUUGACUUUUUAGUGGACACUGGGGCAACUUUUUCUGUGCUCCAGGAAGCAGAAGGCCCUCUAUCGCAAAAACGGAUCCCAAUUCAAGGGGCCACUGGAGGAAUCAAGUCCUAUCCAUGGACACAGGCCCGGAUAAGUAACUUAGGGGAAAGAACCGUUACUCACUCCUUCUUAGUUAUGCCUGAGUGUCCUUACCCUCUAGUUGGCCGUGACUUGCUCCACAAGCUAAGAGCAACCAUUUCCUUCCGAAAUGAAGGGCCUGAAGUAAACUUUCCUAGACAGCCGAGUUCCAUCUUAAUUACCUGCCCCCUGUCUGAACAGUACCUCCUCCUAACCGGGGAAGAUGCUCAUAAACAAGAGACUGAGCUCCUCAUAAAGUGGCAGAAAGAAAUUCCAGAAGUAUGGGCAGAAACCAAUCUCCCGGGACUGGCUGGCCACCAGCCCCCAAUAGUUGUCCAGCUUCUAAGCCAUGCCACACCUGUCCGGAUUCGACAAUAUCCAAUGAGUUACCGAGCUAAAAAAGUAAUAGCUGUCCACAUUAAGAGACUAAGGGAAGCGGGGAUCCUUGUACCCUGCAAGUCCCCUUGAAACACCCCGCUCCUACCUGUCCAAAAACCAGGGACCGAGGACUUCAGGCCAGUACAAGAUCUACGAGAGGUCAGCAAGAGGGUUGAGACGAUCCACCCAACAGUCCCUAACCCGUAUACCUUGCUUAGCUUGCUUCCUCCCAAUCGAAAGUGUACACUGUACUAGAUUUAAAGGAUGCCUUCUUUUCACUACCGCUGGCUCCGGUCAGCCAGCCUCUUUUUGCCUUUGAGUGGACAGACCCCGAAGUAGGGGAUUCGGGACAAUUGACCUGGACUAGGCUGCCCCAAGGUUUUAAAAACUCUCCUACUCUCUUUGAUGAAGCCCUUAGCCGGGACUUACUAGAAUUCCGGGAAAGACACCCCGAGGUUACUGUCCUCCAAUAUAUAGAAAAAUGCCUCAAAAAUACUAGAGCUUUUAACAGCCCUUUGGCUUCCGAGAGCAGUAGCCAUAAUCCACUGCAAAGGACAUUAAACCUCAAAUACACCUGAAGCAAAGGGAAAUGCUUUCGCCGACCAAAUGGCCCAAAAAAGCGGCCCUAAAACCAGUGGGGCCCCUUCAAGUCUUGCCCCUCCUACCACCCCGAGUACUAAAAGCUGCCCCAACUUACUCAGACUCUGACAUUCAUCUAAGUCAAGUGCUCCAAGCUAAAAAUGAUUCAAAAGGGUGGAAAGUCCUCCCCGACUCUAGAAUCCUCCUACCAGAAGCACUGGGAAGAGACUUAAUUUUACAAACACAUCAGAGUACACACUUAGGGGAGACAAAAUUAGCUGAAUUGCUAAAAACUAACUUUUACAUACCUAAGCUUUUUCAGGUAGCAAAGGAGGUAAGCAGAAGAUGCCACGUCUGCGCUCAAGUCAACCCGAGUCAUGUAAGUACCCCUGCUACCCCAGGUCACCGCCUAAGAGGUCAGCUCCCAGGAGAGCAGUGAGAAAUAGACUUCACGGAACUGCCUCCUGGACCAGGAGGAUACAAGUACUUACUUGUGCUGGUGGACACCUUCUCAGGAUGGGUUGAGGCCUACCCAACUCGGUCAGAGUCAGCCCAGGUAGUAGCUAAAAAAUUAUUAGCUGAAAUUAUCCCUCGGUUUGGCCUACCGGUAACAAUGGGGUCUGACAAUGGUCCGGCUUUUAUAGCCCAAGUUACCCAGAAUUUGGUAAAAGCAUUAGGAAUCGAAUGGAAACUACACUGCAUCUAUAGACCGCAAAGCUCAGGGCAGGUAGAAAGAAUGAAUCGGACACUUAAGGAAACCCUCACCAAACUUAAACUAGAGACUGGCGGAAACUGGGUGAGCCUCCUUCCGUUUGCCUUGCUCAAAGCUAGGUGCACCCCUUAUGUAAAAGGUAUUACUCCAUAUGAAGCCAUGUUUGGCAGGCCACCCCCGCUCCUCCCCAAGCUAGGGGAGGAGCAGCUCGCCUCCCUGUCUAAUUCUGAACUUCUCAAGUCCCUACAGGCUAUACACUGCAACUCCAAAGGCAUCCACCACACCGUCCGCAACCACCACUCAAAACCUGACGCCGUGGAAGAAAAAACCCCUACCGCUGAACCUGGGGAUUUGGUGUGGAUCAAGAAAAGACACCCCUCCUCCUUGAAGCACGCUGGGCUGGACCUUAUUAGGUGAUUCUAAGCACACCAACCACUGUGAAAGUCGCAGGUUUACUUGAAUCUCCAUAACAAAAGUGUAUCCUGUGGGAAAACAUGAUGAUUGGCUCCCUGAGAGGUACUGGGCCCUUUUGAAUGGAUGUGAAGAAGGAAAGUCCAUGAAACAAGAUUUGGUUUAAAAACUACAGAUGGAGAUAGAAAAGACUGAAAGUUGAACCCAAGAACAAGACAAGACUCAGCCCUGCACUGCAGACCUACCAAAAGAUUCCAGAGGACCCCAGACACCCACCAUGGAAUCUCAAACAACUACCCCAGGUCAAUCUUUUGAGAGGAACCAAAUCCCUGAUUUUGCUACCAAAGAAGAACUGGCUACACCAACAGGCACUCCACAACCAAGAAUUCAAGAACUGUUUCUGAACUGAAGGGAUCAGCACUCAGAGCACAGGAAAAGGGAAUCCAUAAAUCCCUUGGGAGACAGCCCAAGUGGGAAUCCAGAGCUGACUCUUCAGCAGCACCAAAUCGAACUGUCCACUCUCCCAGGCAGGUGGGGGCUCUGGAAGGCGGGAACCAUGCAUCCCGAUGGUUCAGCCCACCCAGGCUGUGCAGGGAGGAGAGAACUCUGACACCCCCCUGACUCCUAUGAAUCCCUUGACAGAACCACCGACCUUGAUCAGGGCCAUCUCAGAUACGCAGACUCCUUUCGGGCCCCAGUAGCAAGGAAAAUGCCAGGAUCACAGUGAGCACACUGGCAGGGAAAUUCGGCAAUUGAAGGACUCGUAUCCUGAGCCUGAAAAAGUCCAGGUGCCUGACGUAUCUUACGUUAUGCGAUGGUGGGACUAGGUGCGCCUGGCUCUGAUUGCAGAAUGGGAACCUCCCAAAAGAGACACUGGAGCAGGCCGGACACACUGAUGCAGACUCGUGGCCCAAUCAGCUCAGGAGCUGCAUCAUCAGCUUGACCAACACACAAGCAAUAGGUGGAUCUCUCAAGGCUUUGGGAUGAACUCUGUCAUCUACAGAUUUUCAUUUAGGGGAACAAUCUCUUCUGAAUCUGGAUGCUCAGGAAGAGGACCCUCCCUGAACCCAACCACCCCUCCAAGAGGAAGAAUUUCAUGCUGCUCCACAUGCUGCCAGGCUCAUAAGGGGCUCAGCUUUAGGAGAAGGAAGAUGGCCUUCUCUUGACCAUGGUCCAGGCCUCCUUCCUUUGAUGUGCAAACUGAAAGAUUUAAAGAAUGAUGAACAGUGAGGACAUCACAUUCGGGAACAAGGCUAAUUCAGGAAGGAGAUUCAACACUCUGGACCCAAAUGGAAGAUUUUCCUCUGUCGUGUGAGCAGUGGUUCCCGUCUGUGCUCACUUCCUGGAGUAAGGGAUUCGCUGGAAGCUCCAUCCUGCCUCUAGAAGCAACAUCAGGACCAGGUAUUGAAAAUGUUUGCUCAAUCCUUGAUGUAAAACAUUUUCAUGAGAAAUAUGACCUCCUCCCUGUAAUCAUCAUGCCGUCACCAUUCUGUACAAACAAAGAACUGUCAUAGAACACAAGUGAAGAGAAUGGGUCUUAGAGGAACUUACCUGCAUUUUGUGACUUUGAGCAAGAUGGGAGGUCAAAUUUGAAAUUCGUUUGACAUGUAAAAAAUAAGGAGAUGUAGUAUUUCUUGAUAAUGUGAGUUUAAUAAAAUGAGUUUUUUUCCCCCGCUACACUGAGUGUUUGAAUUGGGAACUAGAACCUAUCUCAAUAUUAAUCAGUAAGGGAUGAUGAAAAGAUACAUCCAUAAUACUGAGUACUCCUCUCAAAUGAAUGCAUUUUUUUUCCUCUUAUGAUUUAAAACAUACAGAUAAUCACACGGGAAAUUAUUAUAGCAUAACACACAAUCACAAUAUAGUCUACUAAUAUUAAUAGUUCCACAUUUUUAUGUUAUUCAUAUAUAUUUACGCAUACAUGUGUAUAUAUAUAUAUCAAAUGCCCUAUUUUAUUGUAAAUAAAUUAUAUGUAAACUUAGAAGUUCUGGAACAAUCAUCUUACUACACACACAGUCUUCUCCUUUGUUUUGAAGCGGUAAUUUCGAAAGUUAC
Molecule: RNA transcript, 6169 nt
Organism: Choloepus didactylus (southern two-toed sloth)
Lineage: Eukaryota; Metazoa; Chordata; Mammalia; Pilosa; Megalonychidae
Gene name: double homeobox protein B-like
Exons: 6
Source: RefSeq, a predicted model, not a curated record